RNAcentral lists this ribosomal RNA (253 nucleotides) under uncultured bacterium. RNAcentral describes it as "partial 16S ribosomal RNA". It matches the Rfam family "Bacterial small subunit ribosomal RNA", at positions 524 to 776 of the family's 1533-position model. The record is from RNAcentral.
UACGUAGGGUGCGAGCGUUAAUCGGAAUUACUGGGCGUAAAGCGUGCGCAGGCGGUUUCGUAAGACAGAUGUGAAAUCCCCGGGCUUAACCUGUGAACUGCGUUUGUGACUGCGAGACUCGAGUGUGGCAGAGGGGGGUGGAAUUCCACGUGUAGCAGUGAAAUGCGUAGAGAUGUGGAGGAAAACCGAUGGCGAAGGCAGCCCCCUGGGUUGACACUGACGCUCAUGCACGAAAGCGUUGGUAGCAAACAGG